This 492-nucleotide ribosomal RNA is filed under the name uncultured bacterium. RNAcentral's name for it is "partial 16S ribosomal RNA". It matches the Rfam family "Bacterial small subunit ribosomal RNA", at positions 29 to 507 of the family's 1533-position model. The record is from RNAcentral.
AGUGAACGCUGGCGGUAGGCCUAACUCAUGCAAGUCGAACGGCAGCACAGUAAGAGCUUGCUCUUACGGGUGGCGAGUGGCGGACGGGUGAGGAAUACAUCGGAAUCUACUUUUUCGUGGGGGAUAACGUAGGGAAACUUACGCUAAUACCGCAUACGACCUACGGGUGAAAGCAGGGGAUCUUCGGACCUUGCGCGAUUGAAUGAGCCGAUGUCGGAUUAGCUAGUUGGCGGGGUAAAGGCCCACCAAGGCGACGAUCCGUAGCUGGUCUGAGAGGAUGAUCAGCCACACUGGAGCUGAGACACGGUCCAGACUCCUACGGGAGGCAGCAGUGGGGAAUAUUGGACAAUGGGCGCAAGCCUGAUCCAGCCAUACCGCGUGGGUGAAGAAGGCCUUCGGGUUGUAAAGCCCUUUUGUUGGGAAAGAAAAGCAGCAGGUUAAUACCCCGCUGUUCUGACGGUACCCAAAGAAUAAGCACCGGCUAACUUCGUG